CGGGCUGCUCUCAGUUCCCUGAGAAAAAGGGAAGGAAGAGAAGUCAGAACUUGCCAUACUCAAUCCUCACCAGCUGCAGAGAAGUCAGUGUUUUUCAAAGCUAGCACCAAGCACCAUCCCCCAGUUUACCCAGACUCCAGGAGUAGGAGGAAGAAGGAUACCUGCCAACCUACCACCGCACAGAUUACUGACAGGCAGCAUGAGGGGAGAGGGACCAGCCAAGGAAAGAGCUGUACUUACUUGGUUUGAUGUCCAUGUGUGCCAGGCCAGAGCUGUGUAUGUACUUUAGCCCCAUGGAGACUUGCAGCAGGAUCUCCUUUAACUCUGCUUCUUGGAAAUAGCACCCAGUCUUAGCAUUUUCCAACAGCGCAUCCUGAAGGCUCCCACCUAAGUGAAAUAUUCAAGUUUUGAUGCAGGUAUUUUUCCCAGUGAGGUGAGAUGCUUGAACUCAUUUUCAGCUGGACUCUGGAUACCCAUUAACGCCAAGUACUAAAGAACUACACAAGGGGUGGCAAACCUUGGUCAGAAUAGCCAUACAAAAAGUUUAGGAAAGAGACUUGUGCACUGUACCACCCAUCUGGCAUUACACUUGCCAUUGCCUAGGUGGUGGACAUGGUGGUUUCUGCAGCUCUUUAGACCUACUUUCUAUUUGCCAGAAAGGAACCUAAGGCUAUUAAGAGUGGCAGGUCAGAGAGCAAGCAAGUCUAAGAUACAGAAAUCAGUGAUUUAAAGAAACGUAGGUGGCAAGACUCUCAUAACAGUUGUAUUAUUGCUCUUCAUUUAGAUACACUCAAUGCAUCAGGUAUUGCACAAAAUGUUAUCUUAUGCCUAAUCUUUAACCCUAUGCGUGCUGUACCACGACUCUAGUCAUGGGUGUCUUUGUAAAUGGUGAAAGUUGUGCUGAGUUACAGUGGUGACUAUCAAGAGUCAUUUGUUAUUAAUUUUAAACUCGGGACUCCAAAGCAAAAAACAAAAGCACUGCACCACUGUAAUCCCAGCCCUCAUGAGCUAUUCAACUCAAGCAGAUGUUUGCAAUAGUGCUCCCAGGUGUCCAGAUAUGGACUUGCUGAUCACCCACUAACUCCUGCCAACUGGAAUGGGGUCAAGAGCAAGCUGUUUGGGAGUUCCCCUCACUGUGGUUCUGCCUCUGUGGCACUUAACUGUGUGAAUAGUGCAGUCAGAGGAAAAGAAUUUGCUUUCCAGGAGGGAAGAGCAUCUGUCGAUAGGACUCUGGUGUAAAUGGGUUAAUGUUGACCAGUGAAGCCUGGGCAGAAUCAUCUGGAUCAGCACCAGGAGUAAAUCUCAAGUGCCGGG
Dermochelys coriacea (leatherback sea turtle) is the source of this 1314-nucleotide long non-coding RNA. RefSeq lists it as uncharacterized. The transcript is spliced from 3 exons. Lineage: Eukaryota; Metazoa; Chordata; Testudines; Dermochelyidae. The record is from RefSeq and is a predicted model, not a curated record.